Brassica oleracea var. oleracea is the source of this 204-nucleotide long non-coding RNA. RefSeq lists it as uncharacterized. The transcript is spliced from 3 exons. The record is from RefSeq and is a predicted model, not a curated record. NCBI's taxonomy places the organism in Eukaryota, Viridiplantae, Streptophyta, Magnoliopsida, Brassicales, Brassicaceae.
UUUAAUUCUUCUUCUUCUCUUUGGUUUCCGUCCAUCUCUUGCGAGAUGUUCACUUGUGAAAUUGAAGUUAUUAGAGGACGAGGAGGGUCAUCGAAAUGUUUCUAGCCAAUGUGGUUGAUUUGAUUUUGAUUGGAAUAACAUCCAUUAUGGAGGUUUUGGUUCGCUUGGUUGGGGCUGAAAGAUCAUGUCUAUCCCAAAUUUCUG